AACGAACGCUGGCGGCAGGCCUAACACAUGCAAGUCGAACGAGGUAGCAAUACCUAGUGGCGCACGGGUGAGAAACGCGUGGGAAUCUCCCUUCUAGUACGGGAUAACACCGGGAAACUGGUGCUAAUACCGUAUGACCCCUCCGGGGGAAAGAUUUAUCGCUAGAAGAUGAGCCCGCGUAAGAUUAGCUAGUUGGUGAGGUAACGGCUCACCAAGGCUACGAUCUUUAGCUGGUCUUAGAGGACGAUCAGCCACACUGGAACUGAGACACGGUCCAGACUCCUACGGGAGGCAGCAGUGGGGAAUCUUGGACAAUGGGGGAAACCCUGAUCCAGUCAUGCCGCGUGAGUGAUGAAGGCCUUCGGGUUGUAAAGCUCUUUUGUGUGGAAGAUAAUGACUGUACCACAAGAAUAAGCCCCGGCUAACUUCGUGCCAGCAGCCGCCGUAA
This 448-nucleotide ribosomal RNA is filed under the name uncultured bacterium. Its description in RNAcentral is "partial 16S ribosomal RNA". It matches the Rfam family "Bacterial small subunit ribosomal RNA", at positions 29 to 523 of the family's 1533-position model. The record is from RNAcentral.